Molecule: ribosomal RNA, 3013 nt
Filed under: Salmonella enterica
Lineage: Bacteria; Pseudomonadati; Pseudomonadota; Gammaproteobacteria; Enterobacterales; Enterobacteriaceae
Description: 23S ribosomal RNA
Rfam family: Bacterial large subunit ribosomal RNA
Source: RNAcentral
GGGUUGUGAGGUUAAGCGACUAAGCGUACACGGUGGAUGCCCUGGCAGUCAGAGGCGAUGAAGGGCGUGCUAAUCUGCGAUAAGCGCCGGUAAGGUGAUAUGAACCGUUAUAACCGGCGAUACCCGAAUGGGGAAACCCAGUGUGACUCGUCACACUAUCAUUAACUGAAUCCAUAGGUUAAUGAGGCGAACCGGGGGAACUGAAACAUCUAAGUACCCCGAGGAAAAGAAAUCAACCGAGAUUCCCCCAGUAGCGGCGAGCGAACGGGGAGGAGCCCAGAGCCUGAAUCAGCAUGUGUGUUAGUGGAAGCGUCUGGAAAGGCGCGCGAUACAGGGUGACAGCCCCGUACACAAAAGCGCAUGUGCUGUGAGCUCGAUGAGUAGGGCGGGACACGUGGUAUCCUGUCUGAAUAUGGGGGGACCAUCCUCCAAGGCUAAAUACUCCUGACUGACCGAUAGUGAACCAGUACCGUGAGGGAAAGGCGAAAAGAACCCCGGCGAGGGGAGUGAAAAAGAACCUGAAACCGUGUACGUACAAGCAGUGGGAGCACAGGUUUACCUGUGUGACUGCGUACCUUUUGUAUAAUGGGUCAGCGACUUAUAUUCUGUAGCAAGGUUAACCGAAUAGGGGAGCCGCAGGGAAACCGAGUCUUAAUUGGGCGUUAAGUUGCAGGGUAUAGACCCGAAACCCGGUGAUCUAGCCAUGGGCAGGUUGAAGGUUGGGUAACACUAACUGGAGGACCGAACCGACUAAUGUUGAAAAAUUAGCGGAUGACCUGUGGCUGGGGGUGAAAGGCCAAUCAAACCGGGAGAUAGCUGGUUCUCCCCGAAAGCUAUUUAGGUAGCGCCUCGUGAAUUCAUCUCCGGGGGUAGAGCACUGUUUCGGCUAGGGGGCCAUCCCGGCUUACCAACCCGAUGCAAACUGCGAAUACCGGAGAAUGUUAUCACGGGAGACACACGGCGGGUGCUAACGUCCGUCGUGAAGAGGGAAACAACCCAGACCGCCAGCUAAGGUCCCAAAGUCAUGGUUAAGUGGGAAACGAUGUGGGAAGGCCCAGACAGCCAGGAUGUUGGCUUAGAAGCAGCCAUCAUUUAAAGAAAGCGUAAUAGCUCACUGGUCGAGUCGGCCUGCGCGGAAGAUGUAACGGGGCUAAACCAUGCACCGAAGCUGCGGCAGCGAACGUAUCACCCAAGACAACUUUACGGAGUUGACGAUUGACGGAGCGAAGCGACGUCAAAGCGUUCAUUAAAGUCGAGUUGGCUUAGGGAUACGUUCGUUGGGUAGGGGAGCGUUCUGUAAGCCUGCGAAGGUGGCCUGUGAGGGUUGCUGGAGGUAUCAGAAGUGCGAAUGCUGACAUAAGUAACGAUAAAGCGGGUGAAAAGCCCGCUCGCCGGAAGACCAAGGGUUCCUGUCCAACGUUAAUCGGGGCAGGGUGAGUCGACCCCUAAGGCGAGGCCGAAAGGCGUAGUCGAUGGGAAACGGGUUAAUAUUCCCGUACUUGGUGUUACUGCGAAGGGGGGACGGAGAAGGCUAUGUUGGCCGGGCGACGGUUGUCCCGGUUUAAGCGUGUAGGUGUGUGUUCCAGGUAAAUCCGGUUCACUUUAACACUGAGGCGUGACGACGAGGCACUACGGUGCUGAAGCAACAAAUGCCCUGCUUCCAGGAAAAGCCUCUAAGCAUCAGGUAACAUCAAAUCGUACCCCAAACCGACACAGGUGGUCAGGUAGAGAAUACCAAGGCGCUUGAGAGAACUCGGGUGAAGGAACUAGGCAAAAUGGUGCCGUAACUUCGGGAGAAGGCACGCUGACAUGUAGGUGAAGUGAUUUACUCAUGGAGCUGAAGUCAGUCGAAGAUACCAGCUGGCUGCAACUGUUUAUUAAAAACACAGCACUGUGCAAACACGAAAGUGGACGUAUACGGUGUGACGCCUGCCCGGUGCCGGAAGGUUAAUUGAUGGGGUCAGCGCAAGCGAAGCUCCUGAUCGAAGCCCCGGUAAACGGCGGCCGUAACUAUAACGGUCCUAAGGUAGCGAAAUUCCUUGUCGGGUAAGUUCCGACCUGCACGAAUGGCGUAAUGAUGGCCAGGCUGUCUCCACCCGAGACUCAGUGAAAUUGAACUCGCUGUGAAGAUGCAGUGUACCCGCGGCAAGACGGAAAGACCCCGUGAACCUUUACUAUAGCUUGACACUGAACAUUGAGCCUUGAUGUGUAGGAUAGGUGGGAGGCUUUGAAGUGUGGACGCCAGUCUGCAUGGAGCCGACCUUGAAAUACCACCCUUUAAUGUUUGAUGUUCUAACGUGGACCCGUUAUCCGGGUUGCGGACAGUGUCUGGUGGGUAGUUUGACUGGGGCGGUCUCCUCCUAAAGAGUAACGGAGGAGCACGAAGGUUGGCUAAUCCUGGUCGGACAUCAGGAGGUUAGUGCAAUGGCAUAAGCCAGCUUGACUGCGAGCGUGACGGCGCGAGCAGGUGCGAAAGCAGGUCAUAGUGAUCCGGUGGUUCUGAAUGGAAGGGCCAUCGCUCAACGGAUAAAAGGUACUCCGGGGAUAACAGGCUGAUACCGCCCAAGAGUUCAUAUCGACGGCGGUGUUUGGCACCUCGAUGUCGGCUCAUCACAUCCUGGGGCUGAAGUAGGUCCCAAGGGUAUGGCUGUUCGCCAUUUAAAGUGGUACGCGAGCUGGGUUUAGAACGUCGUGAGACAGUUCGGUCCCUAUCUGCCGUGGGCGCUGGAGAACUGAGGGGGGCUGCUCCUAGUACGAGAGGACCGGAGUGGACGCAUCACUGGUGUUCGGGUUGUCAUGCCAAUGGCACUGCCCGGUAGCUAAAUGCGGAAGAGAUAAGUGCUGAAAGCAUCUAAGCACGAAACUUGCCCCGAGAUGAGUUCUCCCUGAGACUUUAGGUCUCCUGAAGGAACGUUGAAGACGACGACGUUGAUAGGCCGGGUGUGUAAGCGCAGCGAUGCGUUGAGCUAACCGGUACUAAUGAACCGUGAGGCUUAACCUUACAACGCCGAAG